GCCCAUCAAUAUAGCUUAGACGUUAGUUUUGCUUGUCUCGUUGGUUAGCCGAAGGCCUCGAGCGGUGAGUUGUGAUGAAGCGGAUCGCCAGGGGCCCGUCCUAAGGCAGCGGUUGCUGCGAGGGACGACUGAAGCGUGAUUGUCAGUUCCUGAUCCUCAAGAGGACUUCUCGUCUUAGUCCAUGACUGCUAAGCUUACUCAGGAGUCUUUGAUGAGGUACCUUGUUAAAAGCGUUUUGAAAGUCGAAGUACACUAUGUCCACUGGAUCACCUUUAUCUAUAUGCUUGCUGACUCUCAAAAAAACUCUUAAUAGAGUCAGUGGAAAAGUGAGGUAUCAGUGACUAUCCUCCCUCAGCUCCAGACAACAUGGCAAGCAGGAAGGGAGGAUGGGAGUCAUCCAACAAAUAUGGGGAGGACCGGAGUUUCCUAUUCCUGGUCCCAGAGGGUCGAUGGAAGUGUGUUAGUGAAUUUGAAGCAGUUGUGAGUUCCAGAGUCCUUUGUAUCUUCACAGAAGACGUUGAGGGCACACUUCUUCAAGGCUGCCAGCCAGCUGUGUUGGAAACUUUGUACACCAAAAGCAAAGCAAAAGUGUAAUAUAAUUCAGCCCAGAAUAAACUGUGCAUUAUGACUUUUGAUCAAACUGUAAAACUAGAGGCAUUAAAAUGACAAAAAGUAUUAAGCAUCAGAAAAUGGAAUAGAGAAUUAGAACAAGAAUCUAAUAAAUUUGUGCAGAAGUUAAGAAUACACAGUAGAUUAAGUUAGCGUAUUUGCUAUUUUAUUUUAUUUGUAUUUGUUUUGAUGGUGCACCAACUAGAUUUACCAAUAGAUGUCUCUUGCUACAGUAGGCACUAAAGAAGUGUGGUUGAAAGUAGUGAGUUAAGACUAUAACGUUCAUAUUAGUAAGAAUUUGUGUCUGAGUCAAGCCCUCUCCUUAGGAUUUACUAGCAAGUAUUUAACAAAAUUUAUAUACUGCUUGAUUGUAAAAAAAGCGCCUGUAAGCGGUUUACAAUAUAUGUGUCUCCAUCUUAUCCCAAAACAUAGCCAUCUGUUCCAUUUUGUAAAAAACGUUGAAGUCUGAGAACUUGCUCUGGCAGCACAAUCUUAUGCAUAUUUACUCAGAAAUAAGCCCCACUGUGUUAAUUGGGACCUACUCUCAGGUAUGUAUGUGUACACAGGAUUGCAACCUCAAUGAUUCUUCCAAUCAUCUGCACUGGUGUUGCUAGCUACCAAACCAACUGUGAAAUUUCUUGAUGCAAAUAUUAACCUUGAGUUGAAAACCUCUACUUUUAUUUCUGACUGGAAAAUCUUCUAGGGCCAGUAGUAGAUGAAUUACAAUUGAUAACAUAAAACCUCAAAAGUUCUGAGCCAAUUUAAAUGUUAACAUUUACGGGAAGGGGGCAAAUCACAAAUUUGGUUAACAGCUUAAAUUGACUGGAUAUUGUUGAUUUGCAGAUUUGUUCAGAAAAAAAUCCUGCAAACUAUAACAAGACCCAACUGCAUUGUUGCAAGUUCUAAAAAUUCUCACUUGAAGCAAAGGGUCUUCAAGUGAGCUGGGAGGCAUACAAGAUAGAAUGCUAAAUGAAUGGAUGUAUUAAUAGGGAGAGGGCAAACUGAGGGUACUGGAACUAGUUUCCACCCAAGAUCUAGGGGCAAAGUAGAGAAGAAAGAGAGGGGAUUAAAACACAUCUCAUAAAAUGAAGUACUUUACACCCAAUUACCUCAUGGCUCAGGUAAAGAGCAGCAAGCUGGGAGGAAGAUAAAGGUAAAGAUGUCCCCGCACUUGUAAUGCGAGUAGUUUCUGACUCUUAGGGUGACGUCUUGCGAUGUUUACUAGGUAGACCAUAUAUAUGGGGUGGGAUUGCCAGUUCCGUCCCCGGCCUUUCUUUACCCCCCCAGCAUAUGCCGGGCACUCAUUUUACCGACCACAGAUGGAUGGAAGGCUGAGUGGACCUCUACUCCUUUUACCGGAGAUUCGACUUCCUCCUUUUCGUUGGAAUCGAACUCUGGCCGUGAGCAGAGCUUCGGCUGCGUUACCACCGCUUACCACUCUGAGCCACGGAGCAUAAUCUCAGAAAGUAAACAAAAGCUAGAAGUGGUAUAGUCAAUUACUUCUUGGUCUGAAGUGAAGAAUCUGGAGUCUUAAAAGAAAAGGGUGCUCUAGGUUUUAGCACUUUAAAGAAGCAGAUAACACGUUCAGCCCAUCCGCUAACAAGCUACCAAAAAUAUCCCAACCCUUUCAAGAACUUCAAAAAGAUAUAUAGAGAAGUGGCUCCUUAUGAGUUGUGCUAGCAAUUUUAAGAAGCUCAUGUAUUCCCACAAAAGGCCAAUCUUUUUCCACGCCUCCGAAAAUGAUUUCAUAUUGUAUUGCUAUGACUGUACCACUUCAGAAUAGAGGUGACAACUGCAUGAUUUAGUGCUCUCCCAAGUCAACAACCCCAUGAACAUAUAAAACUAGAUUAUCAGGAAGAAGGCAAGGCUAAAACAUGUUUUCCUGAUCAAGAACAUUCAAGAACUCCCUGACAUUAAUUACUUACCAGCCUGCAUUGUGAAGUAGUACAAUCCACAAAAAGUCACACCACUAUGACCAUAGAAAGCGGUGUUAUACACAGGUCAACAUUGCUCCAUAUAGUUCACAAUCGCCCAUACAGACUGGCAGCAGCUCUUGGGGUUUCAGGUGCGUCUUUCCCAGCCCUACCUGGAGAUGCUGGGGUUUAAAGUAGGGGCCACUCUUACAUGCAAACUGUGAGCUCUACCACUGAGCUACAACCUUUCCUUCAGUUUUUCUGAAUGUGAAGAUGAGCCCAAAUUGUAACUCAUGUUAUUAAGAUGCAUUAGGUACAAAAAGGAGCCUCAUACUUUAUCAUAGCAGCAUUUUGUCUUGCAGCCUGUUCAUACUUUUAAAGCUGAAAGGGCAGUAUAGCAUGUACUGUUAAAAAUGCCAACAGUUGAAGUUAUAAGUUAACUGGCCAUGUUAACUCCAUGUUAACUCUUUUUAAAACUUAUGAGGCUUAGCAGGCUGGGCAAACUCAACAAGGCUGCAUCAAGCUCAGUAAUCCAAGUGCUAAUAACAAAAUAAUAAAAACUCUACAAUACAGCCCUAAUGCAUAAUUGUGCAUUAGUACACACAUUUCAUCAAGGGGCUUUUUAGCAGUAAUUAUGCAAGUGCUUAAAAAGUAUAGUGAUUAUUGUAUGAUUAUGUACCGCUUCUCUUCAAAAUCUCAAAAAGUCCAAGUUUCUGACUGUUCCCCUUCGUGGUUGUGGAUUAAAGCAUAAAAAUAUGCAUGUAGUUUCAGCUAAACUGGAUUCCUUCAGAGGUGAGGUAGGUCACACACACUCUUUGCCUUCCAUCCUUGCAAAUACCUGUCUGCUGUUCCUUUCCAGAGCUUUCAGGUUGCAAAACAAACUGUCAAAAAUACACCCAGUGGUUACAAGCAUGUAAAAGCAUUCUAACUGAUGUUUGUUAGUGUGUGGUGGCGUUGGUUGUUUUUUAACAAACUUUCCCUAAUUACUGGUCUAUCUCUUUUUAUAUAGCAAGGAAGCAGUGGGGUCUCUGAAGUUUAUCACACAACUGUAUUGUGAGCAAAGUACCUGUCAAUGCAAGAUAAUAUGACAAGAGAAGUUCAUUGCAUGUUUAACCACUACAUGAACUACUCAUCCAAGUUCACUUCCAAAGUGAUUCUGAAAAUUCAAAAUCAAGAUUGUGUCUUAACUUAAAGUUCUAAGCAUUUUGUUCUAUGUAAGAGUAUUCACUUUCUUGCAAGAUUAAGUAUUUCGAAAAUUAUCUUAGAAGUUCUGAGGUUAGUUUUCUUUUAAGAGACCGAAAAAUAAAACUCAUUAUUAUUAUGAACCUUUAUUAAGUGGCUCACAUUUCAAUAUAAAUCACACUAAAAAGAUUUUUUUAAAAAAAGCUAUUUACACUACAGUGCUGACACAUUAAAAAGAAAAAAGAAAUUGGUAUAAAUAAGCUCUAUGGAAAAGCCUGGAAUUGUCAAAAAGAAUUCUGGCUUAUCUUACAAAAAAUAUAUGUUAAAUGUCAGCUCUAGUCUAAAACCUACAACUCAUAUUUAAAGACUUAUUUAUGUUACACCUGCAGUGUUUACAGUGCAUCUGGCCCUAAGUGCUUUGAUACUUUCACAGUUAUGGACAGGCACUGAGGAAUGUUACAAAGCUACAUAAACUAUUUUUCUGUAACAGAUGUGAGGCAAGUAACAAACCUACCUCACAGAAUUUAAGCAUCUUUACAUUAUUAUGUUUAAAAAGGAAUUUAAAAAUAUAUACACACAAUAACUUCAACACAAAAAGUCAUCUUCUUGUUUGCCAUGCAGACUUGGAUAUGCUGAACCGCUUUGUCUCGUAUCCUCCAAAUUGAUAUGACCUUCUGGACACAAGCUGCUCUGUAAGUCUUUGUCUUCAAGUUCAAAUUUAGACACAGUUUCAAACUUAGACCCUGUCAACUGACCAUGAUCCAGCUUUACUUUAACAUUCUGACAUUCCAUAACAUUAGGCGCUAUUGUCUUUACAGGAAGAUUAACAAUAACUGGUUCCUCUUUAUUUCGGAGAGAUGCAGCAGGUUCAUGUUGCGUGCAUGGUAAUUCCUGUUUGACAAAUUUAGUUUGCAGGCUGCCUGAAAAUUUGGUGUCUUCAGAGACAUUUAUAGUUGCUGUAUGCAUUACAUUGUCAAUUUGAAGUCCUGUAACAGAAGUUGUGUGAUCUGUUGGUAGGCCCGUUUCAUAGAUGCUUGGAUUAUCUCCCUCUGAAUGAUAAAGCUUGAGCCGAACAUGCCAAGCCAAACUGCACACGGCUGAAACUGUCUUAAAUUGAUGUACAACAUUCCUUGGAAUAAAAUAAAUAUCAUUAUCAUACAACUGAAUUCUGGCAUAUCGAAUGCCUUCCCUUCGUAAUUGGUUAAGUUUUGCAUCGUCAACCCACUGGACACACUAGAAAGAAAAAGAAAAUUAAUACAUGUUUUUAGAUCAUGACAAUUCUCUGUGAAAAUGACAGUCUUUCAAAACACUUACCUGUGAAAGUGGAGGUUCAUGCAGAUCUAGUUGCAUUCGUUGAACUACCUCUAAGAAAUCUUCCGCAUGAAAGCAAAUUACAUCUUUGGUUAUACGAGGUUGUUCAGACCUAUACAAAGGGGGGAACAAGUGUUGCCAUCAGGGUUAAUAUUAAAAUUAACCAAUUGUUUGCUGAUUUCUGGAUAGAGCAACUGAAGUAACUUAUAUACACGUAGUAGCAACACAGAGUAGCACCUAACAAGUGAUCUGUGUUUUCUCACGCAGAUAUAAAUCCACAGUUGGACUUAUCCAAAAUGGGCUAUUGAACUGUAGUCCAGGAGUACUUAUCAAUGGUUCCUUCUCAAAGCGGGAGGAGGUAAUGAGCAGGAUACUGCAAGGUGUAGUCCUGCUCUUCAACAUUUUUAUUAAUGACUUAGAUGAGGAUGUGCAGGGAAUACUUAUCAAAUUGCAGAUGAUACAAAAUUGGAAUACCCUGGAGGACAGAAACAAAAUUCAAAGUGACCUUGAUUUAAUAGGGAUAAGUACAAAGUUCUACACCUAGGAAAAAGAAACCAACUGCACAGUUAUAAGAUGGGGGAUGUUUGGCUCAGCUAUACUACAUGCAAGGGGGAUUAUUGAUCACAAACUGAAUAUGAGCCUACGAUGCAAUGCAAUUGCAAAAAAAGGCAAAUGCUAUUUUAGGCUGCAUUAACAGAAGUACAGUUUCCAAAUUGCGUGAAGUACUGGUUCCCCUCUGGCACUGGUUAAGUCUCAUCUCGAGUACUGAGCUCAGUUCUGGACACCACACUUUUAGAAGGAUGCAGACAUCUGGAACAGGUUCAGAGGAGGGCAACAAGGAUGAUCAGGAGACUGGAAACAAAGCCCUUUGAAAGAACUGGGCAUGUUUAGCCUUGAGAAGACUGAGGGGGGAUGUAAUAGCGCUCUUCAAGUACUUGAAAGGUUGCCACACAGAGGAGGGCCAGGAUCUCUUCUUGAUCAUCCCAGAGUGAAGGACGUAGAAUAAUGGGCUCAAGUUACAGGAAGCCAAAUUUUGCCUGAACAUCGGAAAAAGUCCUGUUAGAGCAGUAUGAUAAUGGAACCAAUUACCAAGGGAGGUGGUGGGCUCUCCAACACUGGAGUCAUUUCAAGAGGCAGCUGGACAGUCACCUGUUGGGUAUGCUUUAACUUGAAUUCCUGCAUUGAGCAGGGAGUUGGACUCAAUAGCCUUAUAGGCCCCUUCCAACUCUACUAUUCUAUGAUUCUAUAACAGAGUGGUAUGCACCUGAAAACCUGUUAAAACUUCCUUGUACAAAACAUAUCCUUUUGUCAGAGCAAAAAGCAUAGUAAGCAUACAAUUAAUACCAAUCAAAUAUAUGCCAGCUGUCUAGUUAAAUAAAAAGACUCAAAUCCAGCUUAAGCAAUCUGAAGAGAAAUCUUAAACUUUUCUACACACUAUGUUAUAAUCCAUAAGCUCUGCUCAUGGCCAGAGUUUGAUUCCAACAGAAGGAGGAAGUCGAAUCUCCGGUAAAAGGGGUCGAGGUCCACUCAGCCUUCCAUACAUCUGUGGUCGGUGAGUACCCGGCAUAUGCUGGGGAGUAAAGAAAGGCCGAGGAAGGAAC
Molecule: RNA transcript, 6616 nt
Organism: Rhineura floridana
Lineage: Eukaryota; Metazoa; Chordata; Lepidosauria; Squamata; Rhineuridae
Gene: TMEM60
Gene name: transmembrane protein 60
Exons: 3
Source: RefSeq, a predicted model, not a curated record